AUCAGGCAGAUGCUUGCCAGUGUAUCUGGGACAGGCCUGGAGGUACUGUUCGCUUGUCGGUCUGUGCCAUUCUCGCUGUCCUGUGAGGGCUGUGUGGUUGUCUGCUGUUUGGUAAUGCAGAGUCCAGAGAUGAACCGUGAAUUCGAGCCCCCAGGCAGCGAUUCGGGCCGGGUCAAUGGGCAGGUCCGUCCUGGCCUCCCCGUGUCUUCAGCUUCUGUUUGCCCUGCACUGCCCAUGUCUCACGCCUUCUCUUCUGUGGGGUGCUGUCCUCCAUGCGGGCACUCUAGGCUAGCCUUCCUCCCACAGUUCAGAAGCUCCAGGGCUUGUUAGGCUCUGGCCGUGGGAGUCCCUGAAGGUUCUCUCUGUGUCUUGUGCCAAGCUGUGCCAAGGCCAGCCUAGCUCUGAGGGUGGUUCUAGGGCACGGAAGUACAGGGGUGUGUGGCAUUUCUCUCAAGGAGCAUAUGGACGCCGGGAGGCCACUGCUGGAGGCCUCAGGCAGUCUUCACUGGGACGUGGACUCCCAGUUUGAGGUGUGCUGAGCACAUUUGUUCUCCAUGUGCUGUGUACUCAUGUUCACAAGGUGGCAUCCAGCGCUACACUGUGUUUAGACGUGAAGAACACGGAAGGGCUGUGUGCUAUCGCACGUGUAGUAGCUCAGGAGUUGGAGCAUGGAGGGCUGUGUGCUCACUGCUAGGGAAGAGGGAUCACACGUGUAGUAGCUCAGGAGCGUGGAGGGCUGUGUGUGCUCACUGCUAGGGAAGAGGAUCACACGUGUAGUAGAUCAGCUGGAGGAGCUGGAGGGCUGUGUGUGCUCACUGCUAGGGAAGAGGAUCACACGUGUUUAGCUCAGGAGGAGGAGCGUGGAGGGCUGUGUGUGCUCACUGCUAGGGAAGAGGGAUCACACGUGUAGUAGAUCAGGAGGAGGAGGGCUGUGUGUGCUCACUGCUAGGGAAGAGGAUCACACGUGCAGUAGAUGAGCAGGAGGAGCAUGGAGGGCUGUGUGUGCUCACUGCUAGGGAAGAGGAUCACACGUGUUUAGCUCAGGAGUUGGAGCGUGGAAGGCUGUGUGCUCACUGCUAGGGAAGAGGGAUCACACGUGCAGUAGCUCAGGAGCGUGGAGGGCUGUGUGUGCUCACUGCUAGGGAAGAGGAUCACACGUGUAGUAGCUCUCAGCUCUGGAAGGCAGGAGUGCUUGCAUGGAGUGGCUCAGUCCUCUGUCCUGGGUGUAAUGUUGAAGUGGUGGGGGAUGCUGUUGGGAUCUGCUGGCUUCUUCUUUGCAGCAUAUCAGGUUGUUGCAGAACUCAGUUCCGUGUGCUGGGGGCCGUGCUCUGUGGUCUCCUUGCUGCCUGUCAGCUGGGGGAGGAGAAUGCUGUCGGCUCUGUGCUUGUGAGGUGAGGUGGGGCAGUGUUGCAGGAACUCUGCAGUUGCAGCCGCUCAGGCCUGUGGGUCAUCCCCAAGAAGUGGGUCAGAUUCUUCUUUCCAGUGGAUGUUUCUUUAUCUUCUUUUUUUUUAAGAUUUAUUUUAUGAGGGGCAGAGUUACAGAAGAGUGUUUGUGGGUGGGAAGGAAAGAAAAUCUUUGACCUGCUCGUUCACUCCGCGGAUGGCUGCAUGGCCAGAGCUGGGUCAGGCUGAAGCCAGGAGCCCAGAGUUUCCUCCAGGUUCUCCCACCUGGGCAGGGGCUCAAGCACGUCUGCCGGUUCUGCUGCUUCCUCAGGCGCAUUAGCAGGAGCUGACUAGAGCUGGAGCAGGCGCCUGUGUGGGAUGCUGGCGCCUCAGGCAGGAGCGGCUGUGCCAUGCACUGCACCUUACUGGGUCCUUUAGAAACGGCAGCGCCACGACCCAGCUGUUGGGCUUGUACGAGAACUUCUGUUCACGGUGUGGUUCUUAUCUCAGCCACAGGCAGCUGGUGUGGGGUGGGCCAGGACUUCCUAGCUCUGAUUCUUACCGGUUUCCAAAGGAUAAAGUUUGCCUUAGGGGUCAAAGUCCAUGCUAAUGAGGUAGUCUAUGUGAACAAAUCAGGGAGUAGGUAGAGCCAGGGACCAGUCAGCAGGGGCCUAAGAUGGAGCCCAUGUUACAUGGGGAGGUUAGGUGUGCUCAGACAGGUCCACGGUGGGUGGGGCUGGUGAACAGCAGAAGCCAAUCAGCAUGGCCACGUGAGAUGCUUAUAGCUGCAGGAGGCUGUGGAUCCAUCACAGUGUGGAAGUUCUGGGCCACUCGGCUGGGUGCCUGGGCCCUUUGGGAACCCCACAGGCUGUCAUCUAUAUCAGUGACAGCCGUCCCCUGUGUCUCUGUCUGUGAGGUGGGGUGAUGGUGACAGCCGUCCCCUGUGUCUCUGUCCUCUGUGAGGUGGGGUGAUGGUGACAGCCGUCCCCUGUGUCUCUGUCCUCUGUGAGGUGGGGUGAUGGUGACAGCCGUCCCCUGUGUCUCUGUCCUCUGUGAGGUGGGGUGAUGUUGACAGCCGUCCCCUGUGUCUCUGUCCUCUGUGAGGUGGGGUGAUGGUGACAGCUGUCCCCUGUGUCUCUGUCUCUGUGAGGUGGGGUGAUGUUGACAGCUGUCCCCUGUGUCUCUGUCCUCUGUGAGGUGGGGGUGAUGGUGACAGCCGUCCCCUGUGUCUCUGUCCUCAUCAGAAAGGUGGGGGUGAUGGUGACAGCCGUCCCCUGUGUCUCUGUCCUCUGUGAGGUGGGGUGAUGGUGACAGCCGUCCCCUGUGUCUCUGUCCUCUGUGAGGUGGGGUGAUGGUGACAGCCGUCCCCUGUGUCUCUGUCCUCAUCAGAAAGGUGGGGGUGAUGGUGACAGCCAUCCCCUGUGUCUCUGUCCUCUGUGAGGUGGGGUGAUGGUGACAGCCGUCCCCUGUGUCUCUGUCCUCAUCAGAAAGGUGGGGUGAUGGUGACAGCCGUCCCCUGUGUCUCUGUCCUCUGUGAGGUGGGGUGAUGGUGACAGCCGUCCCCUGUGUCUCUGUCCUCUGUGAGGUGGGGUGAUGUUGACAUCCGUCCCCUGUGUCUCUGUCCUCAGUGAGUGGGGUGAUGGUGACAGCCGUCCCCUGUGUCUCUGUCCUCGUCUGUCAGAUAGAGGUGAUGUUGACAGCUGUUCCCGUGUGCCUGUUCUCUGUGAGCCAUGGGAGCUGUAGUAUCAGUGGGCCUCUCCCAGAUCCUCCUUUUGAGUUGGGGUAAUAAUAUUGCUCAGGCCUGUAUCAGCAAAUUGUCUCUUAGUUCUCUGUGAUUAAAUGAACAGCGUUUGUGUUUCCUGUGGUGAGUGAGUGGCAGCUGUUACUAGAACCAUGGGAGCCCACAUGCCGUGUCGGUGCCUGGGUUCAGUCCUAGCUGCAGCUGCUGAUCUCAGCUUCCUGUGGUGCAGUCUCCGCUGGUGGCUCAAGUGCUCGGUGAGGACUCGAGGUCAGGGUCACACACGCGUUAGGGGCCUGAGGGCAAUGGAGACCCACGGGGACUUUGUAAACCAGGAAAGUCAGAUCCUCUGAACCACCCAACCCAAGCCUUAUGCAUCUUCUAAGUGUGAACGCUCUGUGUUGAGAAAUCAUGGACAGGCUGGCUUGGGGAUAAGACACCAGUUUUGGGGGCAAGAAGGUGAACCCCCAAUGAACUAUCUCUGUCUGACCCCGUGUGUCCUCCCCAUCUGU
Molecule: non-coding RNA, 3633 nt
Organism: Oryctolagus cuniculus (rabbit)
Lineage: Eukaryota; Metazoa; Chordata; Mammalia; Lagomorpha; Leporidae
Source: RefSeq, a predicted model, not a curated record